RNAcentral lists this ribosomal RNA (466 nucleotides) under uncultured bacterium. RNAcentral describes it as "partial 16S ribosomal RNA". It matches the Rfam family "Bacterial small subunit ribosomal RNA", at positions 28 to 507 of the family's 1533-position model. The record is from RNAcentral.
GAUGAACGCUGGCGGCGUGCUUAACACAUGCAAGUCGAACGGUGAAAGAGAGCUUGCUCUCUGUCUCAGUGGCGAACGGGUGAGUAACACGUAAGCAAUCUGCCCCUGACUCUGGGAUAAGCGCUUUAAACGGCGUCUAAUACCGUCUACGUGCUGCGAAGGCAUCUUCAGCAGCUGGUAAGAACUUCGGUCAGGGAUGAGCUCGCGGCGUAUCAGCUCGUUGGUGAGGUAACGGCUCACGAAGGCGUCGACGGGUAGCCGGCCUGAGAGGGUGACCGGCCACAAUGGGACUGAGGAACGGCCCAGAAGGCUACGGGAAGCAGCAGUGGGGAAGAUUGCAAAGUGGGCGAAAGCGUGAUGCAGAAACGCUGCGUGAGGGACGACGGCCUUCGGGUUGUAAACCUAUUUUAGCAGGGAAGAAGCGAAAGUGACGGUACCUGCAGAAAAAGCACCGGCUAACUACGUG